This 1512-nucleotide long non-coding RNA is filed under the name Salmo salar (Atlantic salmon). Its description in RNAcentral is "lncRNA (ENSSSAG00000099115.1)". The record is from RNAcentral. Lineage: Eukaryota; Metazoa; Chordata; Actinopteri; Salmoniformes; Salmonidae.
CUGUUACUGAUAAAACUAGCUUGAUGAGGUCCAUGUCUAAACAUGCUUUAAGACCUAGCACUGCAGGUGCUCUAGUGUCAACAACGUAAAAGUCCAACAUCAUGUCACUUUCCUUGUAUUUGCAUUUGAAAGUGCAUGUGCCUUUUACUGGGAGCUGUUCACCACCAUAACCAUUCAGUCUGCGCAUGGUGGGCUGUAGCUCGCUGCGGUACUUAUUCAGAGGAAUAAUGUUUACUUGUGCACCAGUGUCUAGUUUGAACUUUAGCUUUGUGCCUUGUGUUCCUAUCUCAAUGUCAGCAAAGGCUUGCUCUGUCUCUGAUAUGUGACUUUUCUGUGUCACUGAAUCAAUAAACAGUUCAUCAUCAUUUGACUCUUUGAGUGACAUUUCAUCUUCACUCACUGUGUGUACUGUUUUUUCACGGUAAGCUCUGCACACUUUUGCAAAGUGAUUCCAUUUACCACAUUUAGUACACUGUUUGCCUUUAGCUGGGCAAUUUCCUUGUUCGCCAUGCACUUUGUAUCCACAAUAUCCACAUGUUUUGGGGCGUUUUGAGUCUGUGUCGCUCUGUUUUGGAGUUAUGUCUCUCUCCGUUCCGAAACGCUCUCUCUGGGCACCGGAGGUGUGCUUUGAUGUCUGCCUGACUGCGUGCACUGCUUGUUCACGUGAUGCGCUCGUGCUGCGGCGCGAAAUGGUUUUCAUCUGAGCCUGUGCUAGCUCGUGAGAUCUGGUUAUGUCGAUAGCUUUGUCCAGCGUUAGCUCAGACCCAACAUUCAAAAGUUUCUCUCUCACUCGCGGUGAGUGUAUUCCAAAUACAAUACGGUCCCUGACCAUCUCAUCCUUGUUUGCAUAAUCACAGUCUUUCACAAGCAGACGCAGCUCAGUCACAAACUGUUCAAAAGACUCGCUAGCUCCCUGUACUUUCUCAUGGAAUUUGUACCUAGCGAAAAUUGUAUUAGUCUUCGGCACAACAUAUGCUUCAAAACGAUCGUAGUAUGUUUUCAGUACCUUUGAUUCAGCCUCGGGGACCCGUGAACAUUAGCUCCACAUGCUGUUUGUACUUACGCCAUGCAUCGGGCAUUGGAAAACCUCCCUGGUCUUCGUCGUUGAAUCUGUGCUUGAAAUUCACUGCUGACUGAGGGACCUUAUAAAAUUAUCUGUAACUGGGGGUACGGAGAUGAGGUAGUCAUUUUUAAAAAUCAUGUUAAACACUAUUAUUGCACAGAGUGAGUCCAUGCAACUUAUCUGACUUGUUAAGCAGAUUUUUACUCCUGAACCUUUUUAGGUUUGUCAUAACAAAGGGGUUGAAUACUUAUUGAAUCAAGACAUUUCAGCUUUUCAUUUUUUAUUAAUUUGUGAACAUUCCACUUUGACAUUAUGGGGUAUUGAGUGUAAAUCAGUGAUACAAAAUCAACAUGUUAUCAAUUUUAAAUUCAGGCUGUAACACAACAAAAUGUUGAAAAUGUCAAGGGGUGUGAAUACUUAAUGAAGGCACUGUAGCACCUUUAGUUCCU